This 289-nucleotide long non-coding RNA is filed under the name Bos taurus (domestic cattle). RNAcentral describes it as "long non-coding RNA NONBTAT015524". The record is from RNAcentral. Lineage: Eukaryota; Metazoa; Chordata; Mammalia; Artiodactyla; Bovidae.
UGUUUGUAAAAUAACAAAGUACCUAUAUUUACUAAGAUGAUUAUAAAGUUGUUUCUAUUUUUCUUUCAAGGUGACUAUCUGCUGCUCAGCAUUGGUGACGCUUGAGGUUCACUAAUCACAAUUCUUAAGAACCAACUCUAUUUACCCAAGAUAAAAUCCAAUCAUACGAGUAUUGAUUAGCCUCUGCAAGAUAAAAGGCUCUUCUGCAGGUUCCUGAAACGUGCAUAUGUACACACCCUCUGCCCUCCAAGAAUGUCCUUUGCACUUACUUGGUCCCUUAUUCUGCACU